Long non-coding RNA from Apteryx rowi (Okarito brown kiwi), 1397 nucleotides. Lineage: Eukaryota; Metazoa; Chordata; Aves; Apterygiformes; Apterygidae. The record is from Ensembl.
AGAGCUCGUCUUAAACACAGCCCAAAUGCAUCAGCCAUUUUAAAGAAAAAAAAAAAAGCCAUGAGAGCUGAACUGUGCACUACAAGGCUUAUAACACAGUAGAYGACCUUAGAUCACAUAACCGGCAACAGUGGUGAGAAAAUAGCAGAGAAAACCUCCUGGACAAAGCAGGAAUAGAAGUCCACAUAGUAUGACUUUUUUUUAAGGCAAAAACAACUAUCUUGACAGGGGGCCAGAAAUGAUAGAAAGUGAAAACUAAGAUGCAGAUACACUUAAGGGCCUUGUCCCAACCCACACAAGAAGCCUGGGACAGGGAACUGCUGUAUUACUCUUAGGCCAAGCCUGGUGAGAUCUCCUGUCCAAGUCGGACUACCUAAAAAGGACAGAAAGCUUCUAAGAAGCAGCAGAGAUUUUGUAUAUCACCCUAGCUUCAUAAACUUGGUCCAAGACAAGGCCUGUAAGCCUUCUGAAGGAAGAAGCCACAAUCAGCCCAGACCUGGGCAAUCAAUAAAACAGCAAAUAUCAACACCACCAGGCACCUGUGAGCAAGAGAAUGGUAAAAAGCCAAACAAGUCCAAACCCGCAAGGACAUGACGGCAUUUUCCAGGAACUUGCAACAUCACCUUCAGGGUGGGGAUGAGUAACCAGUGUCCACACCUUGUUGCAUUGUACUCAUUUAUAUGGUUAUGGGAUCAUGCUGGAAUAUCAGCUCCACACAGCUAUGUGGUAAGGACCCCCACGCAGCCCUACGCAUGCAGUUCAAUUCUCACCAACAUGCACAUGCUCUCAUCCUGCUUGCAAAUGGAAGGCAAAUGGAGGCGUCAUGGGGUCUGCAUGGCUGCCAUUAUGCAUAUAAGACAGGGACAGGUAGUAGGCAACCCUUCAUUCUAACAGGCUGUUUAAGAAGGUCCAUGAAAGCAACUGUCUGGAGAGAAUUUCCCACCACAAACAGCCUCAGCACACUCCAGCCAGCCCACAUGAAAGCUGAGCAUGAGGGACAGGCCAAGUAUCUGGUUGGUACAGGCUCCAGCUACAAGUUAAAGUGCCCUGGGCUUGGAGCAGCCACAAAGACAACCGUCAUUACUCAGCAACCCAGCUUGCUCCCAAACCCUGGAAACCAUCUGGAAAGAAAAAAGGUUUUAUCACAAUAGUUCGCCUUGCAGAAGAAAACAAGGCAAAACCACAAGCAAACUAGAGCCAGUCCUUACAAGAAAAAAGAGAGAGAGAGAGAGAGAGAGAGAGAGAACACAGACCAGAAACAGAGUAAACUUCAUAAAAGCAAAACCCCAAAUCACAAAGAAUCUGCCCUUGAGGCAGUGAUGGGAGAUGAGAAGAGCAGAGUGCCUGAAUGCAGAGAUUUUCAGAGCUACCAAAAUAAAGCAGUGAGAAACCCAGCA